AUGCCGUGGGGCGUCCCGGAGGAGCUCCGCGAAGGGUGCGCGCUGCUGGGGGCCACGCCCUCGAGAGGCCGCUCGCAGGUGGAGGCCCGCCUGCAGGAGCGAAGCUGGGGUCCAGGGGCUCCAGGCCCUGUGCCCCCAGGCCCACGGCCGCCGGCGAGCGCGCGGGCCGCAGUACCUACGGAGCACCGCCGAGAAGCACGGCCCUCGGGGCUGCCCCACGCGGCGGACGGAGCCCCCCGGCCGCUGCGCCCCCCGCAGGUCGCGCCCCGCUCGCCGGCGCCGGCCCCACGGUGCCCCGCGCCGCGCACGCGCACCAGGCCACUCCGCAGGCAGACACCCGGGAAGGACCCCGCGCAGCCGCCGCGGAGCCGCCUUAAAAGGGCAGGCGCAGCGCCGGCGUCACGUGGGGCUCGCGUCACGUGGGGGCGGGGCCUAGGGGGGCCUGCGGUCAGAUGGGCGAGGGCCUGGAAGGCGGGGCCAGGCGGGCCAGGUGGGCGGGGCCUGGAGGGCAGAAGGCGGGGCCAUGUGGGGCGGGUGGGCGAUGGGGAACCGGGGGUGGGGCCUGGUAGGCGGGAGUCAGGGGGCGGGGGCAGGUGGGCGGUGGGUGGGGCCUCUCGCCUGCGGAGCCUGGGGUCCUGCCCAGGAGUCCCCAGGAGUGCGGGGCGGCCCGGGGGUGGGGGGGGAGUCCCCGAGCCAGGAGCGCUCGCCCUCGUCGAGGUCUCUGCAGCGCUGCCAGAGGCCUGGAGAUUGGAGCUGGGGCCCGGGGACACGUGGGAAUUUGCCGGUGCAGAAAGGGACUCGCACGCUCCCCAGCGCGGGCAGCCCUGGGGGCGGAGCAGGGACGGCGGCGGGUGGCGGUGCCGGGGAUGGGCACGGGUUGGCGGGCCUGGGUCACGGCGGUUAGCCGGCAGUCCUCGUGAGAUCGCCAGCGUCCGGAGCCUGCACGACGGUGGAAGGAGGCAUGUCCAGAUCGUCCACCUGCCGAAAACUAGCUGUGCUGUACUCUGUAUCUCGCUUCUCUCACAGCGUCAAACGUGGCCGUUCCCUGUGUGGUGA
Molecule: long non-coding RNA, 1056 nt
Filed under: Canis lupus familiaris (dog)
Lineage: Eukaryota; Metazoa; Chordata; Mammalia; Carnivora; Canidae
Description: lncRNA (ENSCAFG00040024287.1)
Source: RNAcentral